GCCCGAAUUACCCUGAAGAGCCGCGAAGAGGUUCAGGAGUUGUCACUCUCAGGUUUCGCUGGAGGUGGAGGAAGAAGCACCCUCACCCUGGAUGGUCCGGCCUAGAGGUACCGAUGAGCUGAGGUCGCUUUGCAAAUAUACCCAUUCCUGGAGGCCUGGAGGCUUUGAGGCAGCUGGGCUAGGACGAGGAGUAUAUGUUGUUGGGUGUGAAGUUCUGCAGAGUGGCACUCCUCAAAUGUCGCAUUAUUUGUCCACCCGGAGUUCACCUUCUCCUGGGUGAGGCAGGGCCAGGCGUCUCGAAGCACAUGUUAACCAAUGGCCUGAAAGGACUCUAGUCUUCCCAACGACUUACUACUAAAAAACGUUCUGGAAAUACGGCUGCUAGAAAUCACAGCAGAAGGGGUGAGCUACCUUGUGAUGCCUGAGCACGUCAGGAAGUUGACUUCAGGAUGGAAAAACACACGGGGCAAGAAGAGGCACUUGAACUUCACCCCUAACAAGACAAGGAUGAGAGAAGCAUUCGGUGCAAUGCGGUCUGAGGUUGCAGAACAGGACGGCUGCAGAGCGAGCUCCAGAAAGCCCUGGGAUGACACAGCAGAGUGUGGGAGGAAGCACGAGGGAGGCGUCUCGUUUCUGGAAGGAAGAGGGGCUUCGAGGUGGGCAAGCUGCCCAGGCUGGGAAGAGUCCCAAGACAUUGCUCAGCCUUGUGUCUGCUUCUGAUUGAGAGCCCAGUGGGACUGCAGGUUUGGGCGGCUUGUUUAAAGGCAGGGCACUCCACCGCUAUGGGUGGGGUGCAUUCAUUCAUUCGGAAACACAAGUGAUGUACCAGCGAGCAAAGCAUACAAAAGUCCUGUUGUCACAGAGCUCACAUGCUCAGGGAGAGACCAUAAACAAACAAAAAUGAAGUGAGAGCAUCUCAGAGUGCUAGGAAGGCAAUCAACCAGGCUGGGGUUACUGUGAUUGGAAGGUCAGAGGCCUUUCUGAGGGGGCCUCAUGGAAGCCAGGGCUGAGUGAUGUGAGGGGCUGAAUCCGUGGCUAUCUGGGAAAGAAGAGUCUUUUUAGGCAGAGAAGAGCAAGGGAUGAGGCCCCAA
Long non-coding RNA from Ailuropoda melanoleuca (giant panda), 1091 nucleotides. RefSeq lists it as uncharacterized. The transcript is spliced from 4 exons. NCBI's taxonomy places the organism in Eukaryota, Metazoa, Chordata, Mammalia, Carnivora, Ursidae. The record is from RefSeq and is a predicted model, not a curated record.